This 465-nucleotide ribosomal RNA is filed under the name uncultured bacterium. RNAcentral describes it as "bacterial SSU rRNA". It matches the Rfam family "Bacterial small subunit ribosomal RNA", at positions 926 to 1391 of the family's 1533-position model. The record is from RNAcentral.
CAAGUGGUGGAGCAUGUGGUUUAAUUCGAUGAUACGCGAGGAACCUUACCUAGGCUAGAAUGCGCGUGACCGCCUCAGAGAUGAGGCUUUCCUUCGGGACACGAAGCAAGGUGCUGCAUGGCCGUCGUCAGCUCGUGCCGUGAGGUGUUGGGUUAAGUCCCGCAACGAGCGCAACCCCUACUUUUAGUUGCCAGCAUGUAAUGAUGGGGACUCUAGAAGGACUGCCUGCGCAAGCAGUGAGGAAGGCGGGGACGACGUCAGGUCAUCAUGGCCCUUACGCCUAGGGCUACACACGUGCUACAAUGGCCGGUACAGAGGGUCGCUACUGCGCGAGCAGACGCCAAUCUCACAAAACCGGUCUCAGUUCGGAUCGGAGUCUGCAACUCGACUCCGUGAAGCUGGAAUCACUAGUAAUCGCGUAUCAGCAAUGACGCGGUGAAUACGUUCCCGGGCCUUGUACACACC